CGCUAUCACUCCUACGCNAGGCAGCAGUGGGGAAUAUUGCACAAUGGGGGAAACCUGAUGCAGCCAUGCCGCGUGUGUGAAGAAGGCCUUCGGGUUGUAAAGCACUUUCAGUAGGGAGGAAGGUAGUGUAGUUAACACCUGCACUAUUUGACGUUACCUACAGAAGAAGCACCGGCUAACUCCGUGCCAGCAGCCGCGGUAAUACGGAGGGUGCGAGCGUUAAUCGGAAUUACUGGGCGUAAAGCGCAUGCAGGCGGCCUGUUAAGUCAGAUGUGAAAGCCCGGGGCUUAACCUCGGAAUUGCAUUUGAAACUGGCAGGCUAGAGUCUUGUAGAGGGGGUAGAAUUUCAGGUGUAGCGGUGAAAUGCGUAGAGAUCUGAAGGAAUACCAGUGGCGAAGGCGGCCCCUGGACAAAGACUGACGCUCAGAUGCGAAAGCGUGGGGAGCAAACAGGAUUAGAUACCCUGGUAG
This 470-nucleotide ribosomal RNA is filed under the name uncultured bacterium. Its description in RNAcentral is "bacterial SSU rRNA". It matches the Rfam family "Bacterial small subunit ribosomal RNA", at positions 328 to 793 of the family's 1533-position model. The record is from RNAcentral.